UACGGGGGGGGCAAGCGUUGUUCGGAAUUACUGGGCGUAAAGGGCUUGUAGGUGGCCAACUAAGUCACACGUGAAAUCCCUCGGCUUAACCGAGGAACUGCGUGUGAUACUGGUUGGCUUGAGUUUGGGAGAGGGACGCGGAAUUCCAGGUGUAGCGGUGAAAUGCGUAGAUAUCUGGAGGAACACCGGUGGCGAAGGCGGCGUCCUGGACCAACACUGACACUGAAAAGCGAAAGCCAGGGGAGCAAACGGG
Molecule: ribosomal RNA, 253 nt
Filed under: uncultured Acidobacteriota bacterium
Lineage: Bacteria; Pseudomonadati; Acidobacteriota
Description: uncultured Acidobacteria bacterium partial 16S ribosomal RNA
Rfam family: Bacterial small subunit ribosomal RNA
Source: RNAcentral